Molecule: ribosomal RNA, 468 nt
Filed under: uncultured bacterium
Lineage: Bacteria
Description: partial 16S ribosomal RNA
Rfam family: Bacterial small subunit ribosomal RNA
Source: RNAcentral
GACGAACGCUGGCGGCGUGCUUAACACAUGCAAGUCGAACGGAAAGGCCCUGCUUUUGUGGGGUGCUCGAGUUGCGAACGGGUGAGUAACACGUGAGUAACCUGCCCUUGACUUUGGGAUAACUUCAGGAAACUGGGGCUAAUACCGGAUAGGAGCUCCUGCUGCAUGGUGGGGGUUGGAAAGUUUCGGCGGUUGGGGAUGGACUCGCGGCUUAUCAGCUUGUUGGUGGGGUAGUGGCUUACCAAGGCUUUGACGGGUAGCCGGCCUGAGAGGGUGACCGGCCACAUUGGGACUGAGAUACGGCCCAGACUCCUACGGGAGGCAGCAGUGGGGAAUAUUGCACAGUGGGAGGAAGCCUGAUGCAGCAACGCCGCGUGCGGGAUGACGGCCUUCGGGUUGUAAACCGCUUUCGCCUGUGACGAAGCGUGAGUGACGGUAAUGGGUAAAGAAGCACCGGCUAACUACGUG